UGAGGUUGCAAUGAGGAUUCACAGCUCCCUCUUCUGAGUUAAAGUUGAGGAAAUCAGCUGGCAGAAUCGAACCUAUGACUUUUUAGCCACCACUGAGUAA
Molecule: small nucleolar RNA, 100 nt
Filed under: Manihot esculenta (cassava)
Lineage: Eukaryota; Viridiplantae; Streptophyta; Magnoliopsida; Malpighiales; Euphorbiaceae
Description: Small nucleolar RNA R30/Z108
Rfam family: Small nucleolar RNA R30/Z108
About the family: snoR30 is a C/D box small nucleolar RNA which acts as a methylation guide for 18S ribosomal RNA in plants.
Source: Rfam by way of RNAcentral